This is a long non-coding RNA of Vespa mandarinia (Asian giant hornet), 305 nucleotides long. Lineage: Eukaryota; Metazoa; Arthropoda; Insecta; Hymenoptera; Vespidae. The record is from RefSeq and is a predicted model, not a curated record.
GGCAACCUCCAAGUGGUGAGACCUGGGCAAUUGAUAUUUUUGUCGAUGCAAUGUAUAUUAUAUCUUACAUAAUAUACAUUCCACCGAAAAUGAUAUCGAGCUAAUGGCUGCUUAAUGUAAAACAUAUAUAAUGUUAUAAUGUUAAUAAUAUAGGUCAGAUAUGGUCUCGGAGAAUAAAUAAGAUAUAAAUAUUAAACAAUUCGAUGUAAUUUUUAUUAGUCGCGGUGGGAGUCCAAGAAAAUGAUACCGUAUGCAACAAUAUAUGAUUUUACAAUAGAAUAUUUUAUAUUAUACAAAACAAACUA